GACGUAAGUGGCGAGCGUUAUCCGGAAUCACUGGGUGUAAAGGGUGUGUAGGCGGCGAUGUAAGAUUCAUAUAUAAUGAUAGGGCUCAACCCUGUUUUUGUGUGAAAGACUGCAUUGCUGGAGUGACGAAGAGGAAACUAGAACUCCAGGUGUAGCGGUGAAAUGUGUAGAUAUCUGGGGGAAUACCAAUGGCGAAGGCAGGUUUCUGGUUGUCAACUGACGCUGAGACACGAAAGCGUGGGGAUCAAACGGG
Molecule: ribosomal RNA, 253 nt
Filed under: uncultured bacterium
Lineage: Bacteria
Description: partial 16S ribosomal RNA
Rfam family: Bacterial small subunit ribosomal RNA
Source: RNAcentral